CCUACGGGGGGCUGCAGUGAGGAAUAUUGGUCAAUGGACGAGAGUCUGAACCAGCCAAGUAGCGUGAAGGAUGACUGCCCUAUGGGUUGUAAACUUCUUUUAUAAAGGAAUAAAACGAGGCACGUGUGCCUUUUUGCAUGUACUUUAUGAAUAAGGAUCGGCUAACUCCGUGCCAGCAGCCGCGGUAAUACGGAGGAUCCGAGCGUUAUCCGGAUUUAUUUGGUUUAAAGGGAGCGUAGAUGGGUUGUUAAGUCAGUUGUGAAAGUUUGCGGCUCAACCGUAAAAUUGCAAUUGAUACUGGCAGUCUUGAGUACAGUUGAGGUAGGCGGAAUUCGUGGUGUAGCGGUGAAAUGCUUAGAUAUCACGAAGAACCCCGAUUGCGAAGGCAGCUUACUAAACUGUGACUGACAUUGAUGCUCGAAAGUGUGGGUAUCAAACAGGAUUAGAUACCCCUUGUAGUC
Molecule: ribosomal RNA, 461 nt
Filed under: uncultured bacterium
Lineage: Bacteria
Description: partial 16S ribosomal RNA
Rfam family: Bacterial small subunit ribosomal RNA
Source: RNAcentral